RNAcentral lists this transfer RNA (84 nucleotides) under Pectobacterium parvum. RNAcentral describes it as "tRNA-Ser". It matches the Rfam family "tRNA". From Rfam's summary of the family: Transfer RNA (tRNA) molecules are approximately 80 nucleotides in length. Their secondary structure includes four short double-helical elements and three loops (D, anti-codon, and T loops). Lineage: Bacteria; Pseudomonadati; Pseudomonadota; Gammaproteobacteria; Enterobacterales; Pectobacteriaceae. The record is from RNAcentral.
GGAGAGAUGCCGGAGCGGCUGAACGGACCAGUCUCGAAAACUGGAGUCGGGCAACGCUGCUGGGGGAAUUCCUUACCUUCUCCA